This 73-nucleotide transfer RNA is filed under the name Ursus americanus (American black bear). It matches the Rfam family "tRNA". Rfam says of the family: Transfer RNA (tRNA) molecules are approximately 80 nucleotides in length. Their secondary structure includes four short double-helical elements and three loops (D, anti-codon, and T loops). Lineage: Eukaryota; Metazoa; Chordata; Mammalia; Carnivora; Ursidae. RNAcentral also lists the same sequence under 2 other names. The record is from Rfam by way of RNAcentral.
GCCUGGCUGGUUCAGUCUGUAGAACAUGCGACUGUUGAUCUCAGGGUUGUGAGUUCAAUCCCUACAUUGGGCG